UUGAUAGGUUGGAGGUGUAAGUACAGUAAUGUAUUCAGCUGACCAAUACUAAUAGGUCGAGGGCUUGAUCAAAU
This 74-nucleotide ribosomal RNA is filed under the name Clostridium botulinum V891. RNAcentral describes it as "partial 23S ribosomal RNA". It matches the Rfam family "Bacterial large subunit ribosomal RNA", at positions 2853 to 2925 of the family's 2925-position model. Lineage: Bacteria; Bacillati; Bacillota; Clostridia; Eubacteriales; Clostridiaceae. The record is from RNAcentral. RNAcentral also lists the same sequence under 1 other name.